CACCAGAAAUAAACUUCCGCACCGACAAACCCGGCCCAUGAAACCGUGAUCUGUAUGAAACCGUCCAGGGUCCAAAUCGGUUCCGAACUCAAAUCAGGAAACUAAACUUCACGUCACAACAGGAAUGAAAAUCCACCUGCACAGGUGAUGAGGGCGGAGUUAUCUUCAUUAGGAAGCAGGUGAGAGUCAGUUUGGAUGAUCAGCAUCAGAGUUUAAAAGAUCAAAUUCAUUCUUAAAAGAUAAAUAAGUUUCUCUUUUCACGAACUCUUUGAUUUAAUUCUCUGUUUGUGAAGCCGGACUGGUUCCGGACGGGUCAGACUUUAACCGAACCUGCGGGUCUGAGAACAGCCACAUACACGCGCGCGCGUUGGACACUGACCUGGUGAGUGUGCGCCUCCUCCGUGCACGCGCUCCCUGCUCCCGCCUUACUUCCAUUCAGGUCCGAGUUUCUCAGAAAAGUUUUAUUUUGAAGUUUCAAACAGGAAGAGGGAAAUCCGGAAUUCUUUCUGCAGAAAACAUAAAAAAUCUUUUGUUUUGAUCUGAAGUCUGCGCGCGUGCGCGCGGGCCGCUCCGGUUCAUGUUCAGAUUCCGUUAAUCCUCCGCGUGUCCAGAAAUGAUCCCAAAUCCUGACAGGCUGAGCGCGCGCGCGAGCGCACGGGCGGGGGGUUCGGGCGGGGCGGGGCGGGGCUACAGGUCGGUCUCGCGCGUGUCCAGGCAGAAGGCGUACAGGGACUUCUUGAAGUCGCCGCUGCUGUUGGCCUUCAGGCUCUUCUCCCCGCCCUCCCCCCCCUCGCUCUUGUCCGCGGAGGCGCGCGAGCCCCGCCGCCGCGGCUCGGGGCUCGCGCGCCCGCUGGCGGGCUCGUCCUUCAGGGAGGACUGGUCCUGGUCCGUCUCGCGGUGGUAGAAGUAGUUGAAGUUGGAGACGAUGACCGGAACCGGCAGCGCGAUGGUCAGGACGCCGGCGAUGGCGCACAGAGAGCCCACGAUCUUCCCGCCCACCGUCACCGGCCGCAUGUCGCCGUAGCCCACCGUCGUCAUGGUAACCACGGCCCACCAGAAGGCGUCCGGGAUGCUGGAGAAGUGCGACUCGGGCUCGUCCGCCUCCGCGAAGUAGACGGCGCUGGAGAAGAGGAUGACUCCGAUGAAGAGGAAGAAGAUGAGCAGCCCCAGCUCGCGCAUGCUGGCCUUCAGCGUCUGGCCCAGGAUCUGGAGCCCCUUGGAGUGGCGGGAAAGCUUGAAGAUGCGGAAGACGCGCACGAGGCGGAUGACCCUGAGGAUGGCCAGAGACAUGGCCUGCUGGCCGUUCUGGUGCUCCUGGCCCUGCUGCUCCGCCAGCUCCGUGCCCACCGUGAUGAAGUAAGGCAUGAUGGACAUGAUGUCGAUGAUGUUCAUGAUCGUCUUGGAGAACUCCGACUUGCUCGGGCACGCGAAGAAGCGCACGAACAGCUCGAAGGUGAACCAGAUGACGCACGUGGUCUCGAUGAUGAAGAACGGGUCCGAGAAGGUCAGCGAGGGCCGCGGCGCCGUGCUGUUGUCCGCGCGCACGCUCACCGCCAGCUCGCGCUCGUCCCGGAACUCCGGCAGCGUCUCCAGGCAGAAGGUGAUGAUGGAGAUGGUGAUGACGAUGACGGACACGAUGGCGAUGCCGCGCGCGGGGCUGGAGCUCUCCGGGUACUCGAAGAUGAGCCAGACCUGCUUCUGGAACUCGUUCUGCGGCAGCGGCUUCUCCUCCUCCUUGAUGAAGCCCUCGUCCUCGCGGAAGCGCUCCAUGGCCUCCUCCCCCAGCUGGUAGAACCGGAUCUCGUCCGCGAACACGUCGAUGGACACGUUGACGGGUCUGCGGAUCUUGCCCCCGGACUGGUAGAAGUACAGGAUCCCGUCGAAGCUGGGCCGGUUCCGGUCGAAGAAGUACUCGUUCCGGAGCGGGUCGAAGUACUUGAUCCUCUUGGCCGGGUCUCCCAGCAGCGUGUCCGGGAACUGGUUCAGGGUGCCCAGCUGGGUCUCGUACCUCAGCCCGGCGAUGUUGAUGAGCACGCGCUCGUUGCUCUCCGCGUCCACGUCCAUGUCCAGCAGGUCGUCGUCGAACAGGGGCUGCGCGGCGUCCGGGGGCUCCCGCGGGUGUUCAGCUCCUUCCCGCGCUCCUCUCCCAGCGCGCUUUGGACGAAGCCCGGCUGCGGGACCUCCAGCGCGUUCCGGCAGCUCUCCUCAGCAUUCCCGCCACCGCCGCCGCCACCGCCGCCGCCGCCUUUAGCGCCGCCGUUUUCGAAGCUCACCAAGGCUAUCUCCAUGCCGCCGCCAUCCACGGUCACUGAGGCAGAAGCUGAGGGGGCGCGUGCAGCCCGAGCAUCCCGCGGGUCGGAGUCCGGACACAGCUGUGCGCGCGGAGCUGCGCUCGGGAUCACGGCUCCUCCGCGCGCGGGUGCAUGCGUGGUUCUCCGCCGCUCCGGAGCGCCGCAGGUGGGGGGGAAGUCAACAUCCAGACCGCGCGCGGAAGACACGGAGACCCGGAUUAGAGAGCAGCCGCGAGGAUCACUCCUGACGUCAGGAGUGAGGCUCGCGCGCUCAGCCGCCGCGGAAAACCGAAACGCGUCUGAGAGGAGAGAGAGAGAGAGAGAGAGAGAGAGAGAGCGGAGACGCGCUCCGUUUGUGGCACAGAGCGCGCGCGCGGAGGAAGCUUUUCUGUGCUGUCAGUCACCCCCCCCCCCCCACCCCCAACAAACAAAUAAAUACAUAAAAGGAAGUCUGCAGAGAUCCAGCGGAGGAACAUUUUGGACACAUUUUUACGCAGGACAGAGACGUCCUGGAGUCUUCAACCUGCGGCUCUUUGAUCUCCGUUCUGGUUCCACGUGAAAUCAGUCAUGGAGGCUGCUGACCCAGACAUGUCCACCGUGGAGUCAGCAGCUCCCCAGAACUGAAGAAAACCAAUAAACAAAGCCUGCAAACCAAGACUACCAACCCCAAACUAAAAUAACUAAACCCAGCAGGAUGAGACUGCUGAGGGAAAAAGAACAAUAAAGUUAUUUGAGCUUUUGUCAUGUUUUAAAUUUUAAAAAAUGAAUAAAUGAAUGAAAUAUCCAACCCUCCCAAAGACUAAAAUAAGAGAGUCCAAAUGUCUCUUUUACUGUGAAAGGUUGCCGACCGGAAGAGAACUCUGCAAUCCAUCAGAAGUUAAAAUCCCACUAAGAUCAGC
RNAcentral lists this long non-coding RNA (3190 nucleotides) under Oryzias javanicus (javanese ricefish). RNAcentral's name for it is "lncRNA (ENSOJAG00000017185.1)". Lineage: Eukaryota; Metazoa; Chordata; Actinopteri; Beloniformes; Adrianichthyidae. The record is from RNAcentral.